UACGGAGGGUGCAAGCGUUAUCCGGAUUCACUGGGUUUAAAGGGCGCGUAGGCGGGCUCGCAAGUCAGGGGUGAAAGCCUCCAGCUCAACUGGAGAAGUGCCUUUGAUACUGCGGGUCUCGAGGGAGGUAGGGGCGUGCGGAACUUCCGGUGGAGCGGUGAAAUGCGUAGAUAUCGGAAGGAACACCGGUGGCGAAAGCGGCGCGCUGGACCUCUUCUGACGCUGAGGCGCGAAAGCCAGGGGAGCGAACGGG
Molecule: ribosomal RNA, 253 nt
Filed under: uncultured bacterium
Lineage: Bacteria
Description: partial 16S ribosomal RNA
Rfam family: Bacterial small subunit ribosomal RNA
Source: RNAcentral